Molecule: ribosomal RNA, 468 nt
Filed under: uncultured bacterium
Lineage: Bacteria
Description: bacterial SSU rRNA
Rfam family: Bacterial small subunit ribosomal RNA
Source: RNAcentral
CCCUUAGAGUUUGAUCCUGGCUCAGGAUGAACGCUAGCUACAGGCUUAACACAUGCAAGUCGAGGGGAAACGACAUCGAAAGCUUGCUUUUGAUGGGCGUCGACCGGCGCACGGGUGAGUAACGCGUAUCCAAUCUGCCCAUCACUUGGGGAUAACCUUGCGAAAGUAAGACUAAUACCCAAUGAUAUCUCUAGAAGACAUCUGAAAGGGAUUAAAGAUUCAUCGGUGAUGGAUGGGGAUGCGUCUGAUUAGCUUGUUGGCGGGGUAACGGCCCACCAAGGCGACGAUCAGUAGGGGUUCUGAGAGGAAGGUCCCCCACAUUGGAACUGAGACACGGUCCAAACUCCUACGGGAGGCAGCAGUGAGGAAUAUUGGUCAAUGGGCGAGAGCCUGAACCAGCCAAGUAGCGUGCAGGAAGACGGCCCUAUGGGUUUAAACUGCUUUUAUAAGGGAAUAAAGGAGCCUCGU